This 449-nucleotide ribosomal RNA is filed under the name uncultured bacterium. RNAcentral describes it as "partial 16S ribosomal RNA". It matches the Rfam family "Bacterial small subunit ribosomal RNA", at positions 29 to 523 of the family's 1533-position model. The record is from RNAcentral.
AACGAACGCUGGCGGCAGGCCUAACACAUGCAAGUCGAACGCUGUAGCAAUACAGAGUGGCGCACGGGUGCGUAACGCGUGGGAAUAUACCCUUGGGUGCGGAACAACGUCGGGAAACUGACGCUAAUACCGCAUAAUGUCUCCGGACCAAAGAUUUAUCGCCUAAGGAUUAGCCCGCGUUAGAUUAGCUAGUUGGUGAGGUAAAGGCUCACCAAGGCUACGAUCCAUAGCUGGUCUGAGAGGAUGAUCAGCCACACUGGGACUGAGACACGGCCCAGACUCCUACGGGAGGCAGCAGUGAGGAAUAUUGGACAAUGGGGGCAACCCUGAUCCAGCCAUGCCGCGUGAGUGAUGAAGGCCUUCGGGUUGUAAAGCUCUUUUAGAUGUGACGAUGAUGACGGUAACAUCAGAAAAAGCCCCGGCUAACUUCGUGCCAGCCGCCGCAGUAA